CCUACGGGAGACAGCAGUGAGGAAUAUUGGUCAAUGGACGAGAGUCUGAACCAGCCAAGUAGCGUGAAGGAUGACUGCCCUAUGGGUUGUAAACUUCUUUUAUCUAGGAAUAAAAUGUUCCACGUGUGGGAUUUUGUAUGUACCAUAUGAAUAAGGAUCGGCUAACUCCGUGCCAGCAGCCGCGGUAAUACGGAGGGUCCGAGCGUUAUCCGGAUUUAUUGGGUUUAAAGGGAGCGUAGAUGGGUUGUUAAGUCAGUUGUGAAAGUUUGCGGCUCAACCGUAAAAUUGCAAUUGAUACUGGCAGUCUUGAGGACAGGUGAGGUAGGCGGAAUGCGCGGUGUAGCGGUGAAAUGCUUAGAUAUCACGAAGAACUCCGAUUGCGAAGGCAGCUUACCAACCGGCAACUGACACUGAUGCUCGAAAGUGUGGGUAUCAAACAGGAUUAGAUACCCCAGUAGUC
Molecule: ribosomal RNA, 460 nt
Filed under: uncultured bacterium
Lineage: Bacteria
Description: partial 16S ribosomal RNA
Rfam family: Bacterial small subunit ribosomal RNA
Source: RNAcentral